UCAUUAUUUGGAACUUGCAUAUUUUCUUCAUUAAUUUUAGUUGUAUUGUUUUCACACACUGAAUCACGUUUUUUGUUUUUAGCCCCAAGCCUUUUAGCCAUCCUAUUUCAUUUGUAUAUCAUUUACUAAACCAUUUCGAGCCUUUUAUACCAUUUUUUGUUUUUAUUUCCACAAUAUAAACCAUUGGCCGUAACACUCUCCUACCCUCCUCGGAGUUAGAAGGUUAAUGUCUCAUAACUUU
Molecule: long non-coding RNA, 241 nt
Filed under: Lathyrus oleraceus (garden pea)
Lineage: Eukaryota; Viridiplantae; Streptophyta; Magnoliopsida; Fabales; Fabaceae
Description: Pisum sativum (pea) long non-coding RNA (PSAT_LNC035686)
Source: RNAcentral